Molecule: ribosomal RNA, 692 nt
Filed under: uncultured bacterium
Lineage: Bacteria
Description: bacterial SSU rRNA
Rfam family: Bacterial small subunit ribosomal RNA
Source: RNAcentral
ACACAUGCAGUCGAGCGGAACGAGUUAUCUGACCCUUCGGGCGACGAUAACGGCGUCGAGCGGCGGACGGGUGAGUAAUGCCUGGGAAAUUGCCCUGAUGUGGGGGAUAACCAUUGGAAACGAUGGCUAAUACCGCAUAAUAGCUUCGGCUCAAAGAGGGGGACCUUCGGGCCUCUCGCGUCAGGAUAUGCCCAGGUGGGAUUAGCUAGUUGGUGAGGUAAGGGCUCACCAAGGCGACGAUCCCUAGCUGGUCUGAGAGGAUGAUCAGCCACACUGGAACUGAGACACGGUCCAGACUCCUACGGGAGGCAGCAGUGGGGAAUAUUGCACAAUGGGCGCAAGCCUGAUGCAGCCAUGCCGCGUGUAUGAAGAAGGCCUUCGGGUUGUAAAGUACUUUCAGCAGUGAGGAAGGUAGUAGUGUUAAUAGCCCUAUUAUUUGACGUUAGCUGCAGAAGAAGCACCGGCUAACUCCGUGCCAGCAGCCGCGGUAAUACGGAGGGUGCGAGCGUUAAUCGGAAUUACUGGGCGUAAAGCGCAUGCAGGUGGAUGAUUAAGUCAGAUGUGAAAGCCCGGGGCUCAACCUCGGAAUAGCAUUUGAAACUGGUUAUCUAGAGUACUGUAGAGGGGGGUAGAAUUUCAGGUGUAGCGGUGAAAUGCGUAGAGAUCUGAAGGAAUACCGGUGGCGAAGGCGG